AGGACAAGAAAGCACAGGUGGAAGAUUUGAGGUCCUGGAUGGGAGAAUCACAAGGAAAAAAACAAAAACAUUUCAGUACCAAGUUCAUGGAAGCCCUGUCAGAACAAGAGACCUUCAAAGAGCUGAGAAACAUGGAAAUUCUAGUACUGGUACAUCAAAGCAUUGGAAAAAUUUAAUCAACGGCACCUUCAAGCUAUUAUGCAUAUCAAGUGGCAAGAUAAAAUCAUGAAUAACAAAGUUCUGCAAAGUGGUUGCACAAACGGUGUUGAAGCAAUCUUAUAAAAGCGUAGUUUUGCUGGACUGGACAUGUCCUCUGCAUGGAGGACACCAAGCUCCCAAAGGAAAAAACGUGUAGUAAACUUUUAAUGUGUGAAAGAUCAAGAGACUGACUGAGGCAGAAGUAAAAAGAUGCCCUGGAAAAAAAGAAAAAAGAACCUCACCCAUUGUGACACAGGUAGCAACACAUGUGGCAAACAAAACAUCUUGGCGAGGCCUAUUAACAUCUGCUGCAGAAAGCUUGGAAGAAAGACAUGCAAGCCAAGAGGAGAAUAGGGUAACUGGCAAGCAGAGAAUGUGAGAGUGGGAGCACGUGCAGAGAAGCUGCAGAAACAGCAAAAAUGAUCCCAACAUACGGAAGCUGAUGUCACACAAAUUCAUGCUCCUUUCGUCUUCAGAACAACAGGCAUCAAGUGAUGAUGACAACUUCACAUUUGGAGCUUCAUGCCAACCCUUGAUCUGUGGUGCAGCAGCUAAUGUUAUUCUUGGAGCUAAACAGAGUCUUGCCUAAACAGAAGUAACCUACACGAGUUGUGUUCACUUCAGCUCCAUUAAAAAAAUGUGGGUGGGGUGAAAUGCAUGGGAAAGAAGCAAUCAU
This is a long non-coding RNA of Melopsittacus undulatus (budgerigar), 874 nucleotides long. RefSeq lists it as uncharacterized. The transcript is spliced from 3 exons. NCBI's taxonomy places the organism in Eukaryota, Metazoa, Chordata, Aves, Psittaciformes, Psittaculidae. The record is from RefSeq and is a predicted model, not a curated record.